This 254-nucleotide ribosomal RNA is filed under the name uncultured bacterium. RNAcentral describes it as "partial 16S ribosomal RNA". It matches the Rfam family "Bacterial small subunit ribosomal RNA", at positions 524 to 776 of the family's 1533-position model. The record is from RNAcentral.
UACGGAGGAUCCAAGCGUUAUCCGGAAUAACUGGGCGUAAAGAGUUGCGUAGGCGGCAUAUUAAGCGAAGUGUGAAAUCAUACGGCUCAACUGUAUGGCUAUGCUUUGAACUAAUAAGCUAGAGAACGAGAGAGGUAACUGGAAUUCCAAGUGUAGGAGUGAAAUCCGUAGAUAUUUGGAGGAACACCGAUGGCGUAGGCAGGUUACUGGCUCGUUUCUGACGCUCAGGCACGAAAGCGUGGGGAGCAAACGGG